Molecule: small nuclear RNA, 103 nt
Organism: Pteronotus mesoamericanus
Lineage: Eukaryota; Metazoa; Chordata; Mammalia; Chiroptera; Mormoopidae
Source: RefSeq, a predicted model, not a curated record
UUGCUUUGGCAGCACAUAUACUAAAAUUGGAACAAUACAGGAAGAUUAACAUGGCCCCUGCGCAAGGAUGUCCACUGAUUUUAGAGAGAGAGGAAAGGAGAAA